This 529-nucleotide ribosomal RNA is filed under the name uncultured bacterium. Its description in RNAcentral is "bacterial SSU rRNA". It matches the Rfam family "Bacterial small subunit ribosomal RNA", at positions 15 to 533 of the family's 1533-position model. The record is from RNAcentral.
GAUCAUGGCUCAGGAUGAACGCUAGCUACAGGCUUAACACAUGCAAGUCGAGGGGCAUCAUGUCGGUUGCUUGCAACCGAUGAUGGCGACCGGCGCACGGGUGAGUAACGCGUAUCCAACCUUCCGCACACUAAGGGAUAACCCGUUGAAAGACGGCCUAAUACCUUAUGCACUCCACGGCAGACAUCUAAUGUGGAGUAAAGAUUCAUCGGUGUGUGAUGGGGAUGCGUCUGAUUAGGCAGUUGGCGGGGUAACGGCCCACCAAACCGACGAUCAGUAGGGGUUCUGAGAGGAAGGUCCCCCACAUUGGAACUGAGACACGGUCCAAACUCCUACGGGAGGCAGCAGUGAGGAAUAUUGGUCAAUGGGCGAGAGCCUGAACCAGCCAAGUAGCGUGCAGGACGACGGCCCUAUGGGUUGUAAACUGCUUUUAUGCGGGGAUAAAACGCGGGACGUGUCCCGCCUUGCAGGUACCGCAUGAAUAAGGACCGGCUAAUUCCGUGCCAGCAGCCGCGGUAAUACGGAAGGU